AGAUGGCCUCUUCGACGAGGCCGGCGCUGUCGAAGUGCACGUGCACGUCGAUGGCGCCCGCGGUGGCGAUCAUGCCCUCACCGGAGCGGAUGUCGGUGCCCGCGCCGAUGAUCAGAUCGGGGUGCACACCGUCCAUGGUGCGCGGGUUGCCCGCCUUGCCGAUCCCGACGAUGCGCCCGUUUCGGAUACCGAUAUCGGCUUUACGGAUCCCCAACACGGCGUCGAUGAUGAGGGCGUUGGUGAUGACGAAGUCCAGCGCCCCAUCACCAUUGGUCAUGUCACCGUGCACAGCCAUGCCCUCG
Molecule: small RNA, 302 nt
Filed under: Mycolicibacterium neoaurum VKM Ac-1815D
Lineage: Bacteria; Bacillati; Actinomycetota; Actinomycetes; Mycobacteriales; Mycobacteriaceae
Description: Mycobacterium sp. VKM Ac-1815D 5' ureB small RNA
Rfam family: 5' ureB small RNA
Source: Rfam by way of RNAcentral